UACGUAGGGAGCAAGCGUUGUCCGGAAUCAUUGGGCGUAAAGCGCGCGUAGGUGGCCACAUAAGUCCGUUGUGAAAGUCAAAGGCUCAACCUUUGAAAGCCGAUGGAUACUGUGUGGCUAGAGUACGGAAGAGGCGAGUGGAAUUCCUGGUGUAGCGGUGGAAUGCGCAGAUAUCAGGAGGAACACCGAUAGCGAAGGCAGCUCGCUGGGACGGUACUGACGCUGAGACGCGAAAGCGUGGGGAGCAAACAGG
RNAcentral lists this ribosomal RNA (253 nucleotides) under uncultured bacterium. Its description in RNAcentral is "partial 16S ribosomal RNA". It matches the Rfam family "Bacterial small subunit ribosomal RNA", at positions 524 to 776 of the family's 1533-position model. The record is from RNAcentral.